CCAUGGUGUAAUGGUGAGCACUCUGGACUCUGAAUCCAGCAAUCUGAGUUCAAAUCUUAGUGG
RNAcentral lists this transfer RNA (63 nucleotides) under Loxodonta africana (African savanna elephant). It matches the Rfam family "tRNA", at positions 5 to 66 of the family's 71-position model. Rfam says of the family: Transfer RNA (tRNA) molecules are approximately 80 nucleotides in length. Their secondary structure includes four short double-helical elements and three loops (D, anti-codon, and T loops). Lineage: Eukaryota; Metazoa; Chordata; Mammalia; Proboscidea; Elephantidae. The record is from Rfam by way of RNAcentral.